AAGGAACUGAGACCCAAAGGAGUUGAAGAACUUCCUCAAGACAACGCAGUUAGAAAGUAUCAGAAACAGGAUUCAAGAUAAAGUUCUCCGAUGCCAGACACAGUUGCUAUGUUCUUUGGACUUUGGACUGUUACAUUCUCUCCUUGGAAAUGGAGCAGACUAUUCAGGCACUUAUUUUAAUAAUCAGAAGAUGAGAAGCACUCAUGAGUACUUUUAUGGUUACAAGAGUACCGUGCAUUACAAUGCCAGAACCCAAGGAAUCCGCAAGAGACCUUCAAAACCAUACCAGAAUUCCUCAGUAUGCCAUAUAAACAUAUGGAGCAGUCGAGGAGAAAAACAAGUUAGAAAUUCUACUUUUAAUUUAAAGGGAAAGCUACUUGUACUUGGGAGGGAAAAGAAAAGUGAGAAAACCACAUGGAAGACUCACAGGAUUUAAAUGAACAAUCAGUAAAGAAAACGUGCUCAGAAACAGAUGUUUCAGAACCUCAGAAUUCCAGGUCUAUGGAAAUGCAGGACCUAGCAAGUCCUCAUACACUUGUUGGAAGUAGUGAUACUCCUGGUAGCUCCAAACUGGAUAAAUCUAAUCUCAGCAACACAUCAGUUACAACAAAUGGGACAGGAGUGUCUCUUCUUGCAGUCAAAACAGAGCCCAUGAACAACAGUGAAACAACCACAACAACUGGAGAUGGAGCGCUUGACACUUUUACUGGGUCAGUAAUAACGAGUAGUGGCUACAGUCCCAGAUCAGCACAUCAGUACUCUCCACAAUUGUAUCCCUCCAAGCCCUAUCCACACAUUCUUUCUACACCAGCAGCUCAAACAAUGUCUGCCUAUGCUGGACAGACUCAAUAUUCAGGAAUGCAGCAGCCAGCAGUGUACACAGCCUACUCACAGACAGGACAACCUUACAGCUUACCCACUUACGAUUUAGGUGUGAUGUUGCCAGGCAUCAAGACAGAAAGUGGACUUUCACAAACCCAGUCACCACUACAGACGGGGUGCCUCAGUUACAGUCCAGGGUUUUCUACCCCCCAGCCAGGCCAAACACCUUAUUCUUACCAAAUGCCAGGUUCUAGUUUUGCACCAUCAUCCACUAUUUAUGCAAAUAAUUCUGUUUCUAAUUCAACGAAUUUCAGUAGCUCACAGCAGGAUUAUCCAUCAUAUACAGCCUUUGGCCAAAACCAAUAUGCACAGUAUUAUUCAGCAUCAACGUAUGGAGCAUAUAUGACUUCAAAUAACACAGCUGAUGGCACAUCUUCAUCUUCAUCAACAUAUCAGCUGCAGGAAUCUCUCCCUGGACUGACUAGUCAACCAGGAGAUUUUGAUACAGUGCAGAGCCCUUCCACACCCAUCAAAGACCUUGAUGAGAGAACAUGUAGGAGUUCUGGGUCAAAGUCCCGAGGAAGAGGCCGGAAGAAUAAUCCAUCACCUCCACCAGACAGUGACUUGGAGCGUGUAUUUGUCUGGGAUUUGGAUGAAACCAUCAUCGUUUUUCACUCACUGCUUACAGGGUCCUAUGCACAGAAGUAUGGCAAGGAAUGUGAUCAAGUUCAUAUAGAUGAUGUUUCUUCUGAUGAUAAUGGUCAAGACUUAAGUACCUACAGCUUUGCAACUGAUGGCUUCCAUGCAGCUGCAAGUAGUGCAAACCUUUGUUUGCCAACAGGUGUAAGAGGAGGGGUUGACUGGAUGAGGAAGCUGGCUUUUCGUUACAGAAGAGUAAAAGAAUUAUAUAAUACCUACAAGAACAAUGUAGGAGGACUCCUUGGCCCAGCUAAGAGAGAUGCAUGGCUGCAAUUAAGAGCAGAGAUUGAAGGUCUAACAGACUCCUGGCUGACAAAUGCACUUAAAUCCUUAUCAAUUAUUAGUACUAGGAGUAACUGUGUAAAUGUCUUGGUAACAACAACUCAGCUUAUCCCAGCACUUGCAAAAGUCCUACUCUAUAGUUUGGGAGGUGCUUUUCCUAUUGAAAAUAUUUACAGUGCAACUAAAAUAGGCAAAGAAAGCUGUUUUGAGCGUAUAGUGUCCAGAUUUGGCACUAACAUAACUUAUGUUGUGAUUGGAGAUGGCCGAGAUGAGGAGCAUGCCGCUAACCAGCACAACAUGCCUUUUUGGAGGAUAUCAAGUCAUUCAGACCUCUUGGCUCUACAUCAAGCAUUGGAACUAGAAUAUUUGUAA
Molecule: long non-coding RNA, 2175 nt
Filed under: Monodelphis domestica (gray short-tailed opossum)
Lineage: Eukaryota; Metazoa; Chordata; Mammalia; Didelphimorphia; Didelphidae
Description: lncRNA (ENSMODG00000017518.4)
Source: RNAcentral